This is a long non-coding RNA of Vicia villosa (hairy vetch), 1009 nucleotides long. RefSeq lists it as uncharacterized. NCBI's taxonomy places the organism in Eukaryota, Viridiplantae, Streptophyta, Magnoliopsida, Fabales, Fabaceae. The transcript has 3 exons. The record is from RefSeq and is a predicted model, not a curated record.
UUGAGUACAUGUUUGACACAGACUCUCAUCUAUGGAGCAUAAGACGAAGCAAGGCGAACAUAAACCGUCUGAAAUCAAUUUUCUCCAGCCUUAUAUCAGUUGGAAGCGGGUUAAUGGAAAUUACAACAUGAAAGAAUUCUGUCACAACAGCCUCUGGAAAUGGAGGUUUCUACCAAGGUACUCCACACAUGGACACGAGAUUUUCUUGCACCGAUGUAACAAAUCCAGACGAGUUCGAUGAAGAGUUUGAUCUGUUUCCAACAAAGAAAAGCCUGGAUAUAGUUCGUUGGAGAUAUGAUCGGUUGAUAGUUUUGGCGGGGAGGUUUCAAAGUGUUGUAGGAGACAUAGCAACACAAGAUGAGAGGCUUCAUGCAUUGUUAAACUGGAGGGAUCCUCGUGCAACAACUAUAUUUAUGUUGUUUGGUUUUGUGGUUGCGAUUGUCUUGUAUGUGAUACCGUCUCUACUCCAAGUUUGUUUCGGUUGGGUUUUAUCUUAUGAUGCACCCUAAGUUAAGAGAAAUGGUGUAAAGCUUGUGUUCUGCUUGAUGGAUUGAAUCAAGGGUUGCCUAAACUGGGAAUUGGACGGAGUCGGGUUGGCAAUGGUUGCAAGGAAGAAAAUGAAAAUGAAAGUCGUGGAAGAAAGAGUGUUGAGAGCAAACAAUAUGGAUCUAUAGACUUCUAAUUUUCUAUGUAGGCAUCAUUAUAAAUCAGCAGGUUAUAACUGAUGGUCAAAGGUACUUGCAGUUAAUAUCUACCUGAUAAUUUCAUGACAGUUAGCGGAAUGUCGAUAUAUCUGAUGUCAAAAAGUAUAAGGCCAAUAGUUUUUGCAGAACGACUUUGCAUAGCAACACAUUGAUUAAAACAAUAAUAAGUCUAGAAUAGUUGCAUUAUUUGAAGAUUUUGUUACUUUUCCUUGUGUAGUUUAAUUCAACAUCUCUAGCUUUAUUUUUGUGAGCAAUAUUUGUAGUAUGGUUAUUUGUAUUUUUAUACUCAGAAUUCAUCCAUACAA